UGGGGAAUAUUGCACAAUGGGGGAAACCCUGAUGCAGCGACGCCGCGUGAGCGAAGAAGAUCUUCGGAUUGUAAAGCUCUGUCUUAGGGGACGAUAAUGACGGUACCCUGAGAGGAAGUCACGGCUAACUACGUGCCAGCAGCCGCGGUAAUACGUAGGUGGCAAGCGUUGUCCGGAAUUACUGGGUGUAAAGGGAGCGCAGGCGGGUAAGCAAGUUGGAAGUGAAACUCAUGGGCUCAACCCAUGACCUGCUUUCAAAACUGUUUAUCUUGAGUGGUGUAGAGGUAGGCGGAAUUCCCGGUGUAGCGGUGGAAUGCGUAGAUAUCGGGAGGAACACCAGUGGCGAAGGCGGCCUACUGGGCACUAACUGACGCUGAGGCUCGAAAGCAUGGGUAGCAAACAGGAUUAGAUACCCCAGU
This 419-nucleotide ribosomal RNA is filed under the name uncultured bacterium. Its description in RNAcentral is "bacterial SSU rRNA". It matches the Rfam family "Bacterial small subunit ribosomal RNA", at positions 355 to 791 of the family's 1533-position model. The record is from RNAcentral.